This 460-nucleotide ribosomal RNA is filed under the name uncultured bacterium. Its description in RNAcentral is "partial 16S ribosomal RNA". It matches the Rfam family "Bacterial small subunit ribosomal RNA", at positions 338 to 795 of the family's 1533-position model. The record is from RNAcentral.
CCUACGUGGGGCUGCAGUGAGGAAUAUUGGUCAAUGGACGAGAGUCUGAACCAGCCAAGUAGCGUGAAGGAUGACUGCCCUAUGGGUUGUAAACUUCUUUUAUAUGGGAAUAAAAUGUUCCACGUGUGGGAUUUUGCAUGUACCAUAUGAAUAAGGAUCGGCUAACUCCGUGCCAGCAGCCGCGGUAAUACGGAGGAUCCGAGCGUUAUCCCGAUUUAUUGGGUUUAAAGGGAUCGGAGGUGGGUUGUUAAGUCAGUUGUGAAAGUUUGCGGCUCAACCGUAAAAUUGCAAUUGAAACUGGCAGUCUUGAGUACAGUAGAGGUAGGCGGAAUUCGUGGUGUAGCGGUGAAAUGCUUAGAUAUCACGAAGAACUCCGAUUGCGAAGGCAGCUCACUGGACUGCAACUGACACUGAGGCUCGAAAGUGUGGGUAUCAAACAGGAUUAGAUACCCUAGUAGUC